Molecule: unclassified non-coding RNA, 343 nt
Filed under: soil metagenome
Description: partial contains 5.8S ribosomal RNA, internal transcribed spacer 2, and large subunit ribosomal RNA
Rfam family: 5.8S ribosomal RNA (bases 1-120)
Source: RNAcentral
GAUGAAGAACGCAGUGAAAUGCGAUAAGUAAUGUGAAUUGCAGAAUCCAGUGAAUCAUCGAAUCUUUGAACGCACAUUGCGCCCGCCAGCAUUCUGGCGGGCAUGCCUGUUCGAGCGUCAUUUCAACCCUCGACCUCCCCUUGGGGAGGUCGGCGUUGGGGACCGGCAGCACACCGCCGGCCCUGAAAUGGAGUGGCGGCCCGUCCGCGGCGACCUCUGCGUAGUAAUACAGCUCGCACCGGAACCCCGACGCGGCCACGCCGUAAAACACCCAACUUCUGAACGUUGACCUCGAAUCAGGUAGGACUACCCGCUGAACUUAAGCAUAUCAAUAAGCGGAGGA